AAUGUCCCAUUUUGCUGUUGAGUG
RNAcentral lists this non-coding RNA (24 nucleotides) under Arabidopsis thaliana (thale cress). The record is from RNAcentral. Lineage: Eukaryota; Viridiplantae; Streptophyta; Magnoliopsida; Brassicales; Brassicaceae.